UGAGGAACAUGACCUUCGGCGGGGGAUAGCCGGCCCAACGGCCGGGUAAUACCGCGUACGACCACAUGGGGACACCCCUGAGUGGUGAAAGCAGCAAUGCGCCGAUGGAGUGCCUCGCGGCCUAUCAGCUAGUUGGUGAGGUAACGCUCACCAAGGCGACGACGGGUAGCUGGUCUGAGAGGAUGGCCAGCCACAUUGGGACUGAGACACGGCCCAGACCUCCGUACGGGGAGCAG
Molecule: ribosomal RNA, 236 nt
Filed under: uncultured bacterium
Lineage: Bacteria
Description: partial 16S ribosomal RNA
Rfam family: Bacterial small subunit ribosomal RNA
Source: RNAcentral